UAAAAAACAGCAGUGAGUCUCCUCAUCAGACAGAUGCCUGCCAGCUCAGUUGAGUGCACCUUUGACCAGUAAUAGGUCCACGUCGGAGGAGAAAAAACGAGCACAGGCGGAGGGAGUAAGUUCGGUGUUUGUCCACAACAAAAACUGGAGGUUCCACACCGAGAUCUCUUCUGCGUUUGGACAUUACGGGGUGGAAAAGAGUCCAGGACACUGACGCUCGGACGUCCUCAACAGAAUAUCAGAAGCAGGUCCACAGCAAACACAGCCCCCUGGGAGAACCCACCUUGCCAACCGCUGAGUGGGUGUUGCUGAGGGUGAUUAAGAGGAAGUGGCCAGAACCAUGCUGGACCGGUCCCUACCACGUAACUGAGAGAACAUCCCAUGCCGUCCGCCUGAAAGGAAAGGGGGACACCUAGAAGGAAACAGCCAGCUCCCAUUGGAGCCAGUGCGCGCCAGCCAAGGAGACAGGCAGAAAUCUGACGGACACGACCGAGGACAUUAAACUCAUAAACUGAACUGUGUCUUUUGCUUGGUAGACCAAAACAGCCGAGUUAAGUUGCGUGCGGGCUCCGAAGGACUCUGUUAAAUUGGGCCACUCGGUGUUGGAAUAGCCACAUAUAGUAAGGACACCUCCCCCGAUAAAAACACUACAUUUUAGAGUCUCACAUUACAUGAAGAAAACUUGGGGGCUUAGGAGGAUUCAAUACCCCCAAGCAACGCCAGGGGAAUGCCCCUGUGUACGUGUGGCACAUUCUAAAAGUAAUAUUUUCUGUCUUGUUUUUGAAUUUAA
This is a long non-coding RNA of Austrofundulus limnaeus, 790 nucleotides long. RefSeq lists it as uncharacterized. Lineage: Eukaryota; Metazoa; Chordata; Actinopteri; Cyprinodontiformes; Rivulidae. The transcript has 3 exons. The record is from RefSeq and is a predicted model, not a curated record.